RNAcentral lists this ribosomal RNA (107 nucleotides) under uncultured bacterium. Its description in RNAcentral is "partial 16S ribosomal RNA". It matches the Rfam family "Archaeal small subunit ribosomal RNA", at positions 1321 to 1429 of the family's 1478-position model. The record is from RNAcentral.
AAUACGUUCCCGGGCCUUGUACACACCGCCCGUCAAACCAUGCGAGUGGGGUCGUCGUGAAGGCACGUUUCUUGGCGUGUUUGAACUUCGAUUCUGCAAGCGGGGUU